GUCCAACAAUAUAUGAGGACCCAAGGUAAGGAAGGGCUGCCCUACUGAAUCUCCUUUUUUGUCAGUAUUUCUGUUUGUAUACAUGUAGACUUGGAUCUGCUUUUAAUCUAGUUGUCAAGACAAAAUUGUGGUUAGCAUGUAGGGAAUGGUGUUUGUUUGUUUGUGUAAUAACAUGUACAGCUGGACUCCAGAGGUCACCUCAAGCUCAUGUGUGAUUAAAACUGAGAGAUGAACAGCUGUGUGGGAUUGUGAUAUCAACUCAAUUUUGUAUCUGCAGAUCAAGUGGUGUAUUUGUGCGCGUAUGUGGUGGAGGUUAGUGGAAGUUCAUUAAUUUUACUGAAAAACAAGGCUCAUCCUGGUGCUUGUAUUCUAUCGGUCAUCUCAUGUUCAUGUAAGCCAUCAAAAACAAGGGAUUAAGCCAGCCUCCUGAGAAAACUCAGGCGCAUUCAUUACUGCCAAGGAGCCUGGGAAAUCUAGUUUACCUUGCCUCACAGCUGAAUCCACGGAAUAGAAAGGCACUGGAAACUGAAAUCUCUAUGUUCCCUGAUAGCCAGGAAAGUGAAAUCUCCAUGUUCCUGGUAUCCAGAAUGCUCCCAGACAGGGCCGUGAAUAUCUUUUGUUUUAACAAGGCAUCCAUGGAGCAUCUGGACUUCAGAGUUGAAGCUUCUGAUAUUGCUGCCUCCUUGUGGGAAGGCUGCAGCUUUGUGGUAAAGCGUUUUCCUUGUAUUCAAAAGAUCACUGGUUCAACCUCCAGCAUCUCCAGGUAGGAAUAGGAAUUCUUCAAGUACUGAAGAAUUCAUAUAUUAGGUAAAAAGUGCACAUUUUACAUAAAAGAGUACUAAAUGUGCACAAUAUGAAUGCAGACGUUUUGUGCAUUCUUUCAAAACAAUCCACACAAAGCACAGACGUGUGAUUGAGAGCCUCCAAUGUGGUGCCCUCCAGAAGUUGCUAGACUCCAGCUCCCAUCAGGCACAACCAUUUUCUCUGGCAUUAUUAUUUGUUUAUUUAUUUAUUUAACGCUGCCCAUCUGGUUGGGUUUCCCCUGCCACUCUGGGCGGCUCCCAAUCAAAUAUUAAAAACAUGACAAAACAUCAAACAUUAAAAACUUCCCUAAACACUGCUGCCUUCAGAUGUUUUCUAAAGGUCAGGUAGUUGUUUAUUUCCUUGACAUCUGGUGGGAGGGGAUUCAACAGGACGGGCGCCACUACUGAGAAGGCCCUCUGCCUGGCUCCCCGUAACAUCACUUUUCGCAGGGAGGAAACCACCAGAAAGCCCUCGGAGCUGGACCUGAGUGUCUGGGCUCAGUGAUAGGGGUGGAGAUGCUCCUUCAGGUAUCCUGGGCUGAGGCCAUUUAGGGCUUUGAAGGUCAGCACCAACACUUUGAAUUGUGCUUGGAAAUGUACUGGGAGCCAAUGUACGGUAGGUCUUUCAGGACCAGUGUUAUAUGGUCUCAGCAGCCACUCCCAGUCACCAGUCUAGCUGCCGUAUUCUGGAUUACAGUGGUACCUCUGGUUAAGAACUUAAUUCAUUCUGGAAGUCUGUUCUUAACCUGAAACUGUUCUUAACCUGAGGUACCACUUUAGCUAAUGAGGCCUCCGCUGCCGCUGCACCGCCGCGCGAUUUCUGUUCUCAUCCUGAGGUAAAGUUCUUAACCCGAGGUAGAGUUAAGUCUGUAAUCUGAAGCGUUUGUAACCCGAAGCGUUUGAACCUGAGCUACCACUGUAGUUGUAGUUUCCGGGUCACCUUCAAAGGUAGCCCCACAUAGAGCACAUUGCAGUAGUCCAAGCGGGAGAUAACUAGAGCAUGCACCACUCUGGUGGAACAGAUUAACCACACUCUACCUGUUGUCUUCAACAGCUCUGCUCAGGCCAUCUUCCCUUUCUUUCUUAGACCUUCUUCUGACUCUCUACUUCUGAUACAUUCCACACCCCUUGCUCACCUUUGAAAGAUCUGUAGUUCCUAGCCUAGCUAUUCUGUGUGCUAAACUGAAUGGGGCUGGGGGCGAGGGGGUUGCAGAUGCCACAACAGUGUAAAGAAGCAACAGAGCUGAACAGAAAUGGAAAAAAGUUGAACCCUCAUACAAUCAAAAUGUUGGUGUUUUUUUAACAAGAUGUUUCUACUCCUGUAAUUCCUCCUCGAAAAAUAAAAAAUUGAGAGCAUAGCCGUAAGUAGAAUAUGUUAGCACCAAUGACGGG
This is a non-coding RNA of Podarcis lilfordi (Lilford's wall lizard), 2195 nucleotides long. The record is from the annotation of a GenBank genome assembly. Lineage: Eukaryota; Metazoa; Chordata; Lepidosauria; Squamata; Lacertidae.